GGGGUCGUAGCUCAGUUGGUAGAGCACCUCAAUGGCAUUGAGGGGGUCAGGAGUUCGACUCUCCUCGGCUCCACCA
This 76-nucleotide transfer RNA is filed under the name Verrucomicrobiales bacterium. RNAcentral's name for it is "tRNA-Ala". It matches the Rfam family "tRNA". From Rfam's summary of the family: Transfer RNA (tRNA) molecules are approximately 80 nucleotides in length. Their secondary structure includes four short double-helical elements and three loops (D, anti-codon, and T loops). Further hydrogen bonds mediate the characteristic L-shaped molecular structure. tRNAs have two regions of fundamental functional importance: the anti-codon, which is responsible for specific mRNA codon recognition, and the 3' end, to which the tRNAs corresponding amino acid is attached (by aminoacyl-tRNA synthetases). tRNAs cope with the degeneracy of the genetic code in two manners: having more than one tRNA (with a specific anti-codon) for a particular amino acid; and 'wobble' base-pairing, i.e. permitting non-standard base-pairing at the 3rd anti-codon position. Lineage: Bacteria; Pseudomonadati; Verrucomicrobiota; Verrucomicrobiia; Verrucomicrobiales. RNAcentral also lists the same sequence under 1 other name. The record is from RNAcentral.